Molecule: ribosomal RNA, 1370 nt
Filed under: uncultured bacterium
Lineage: Bacteria
Description: bacterial SSU rRNA
Rfam family: Bacterial small subunit ribosomal RNA
Source: RNAcentral
GAUAAACGCUGGCGGCGUGCCUAAUACAUGCAAGUCGAGCGAACGGACGAGAAGCUUGCUUCUCUGAUGUUAGCGGCGGACGGGUGAGUAACACUUGGAUAACCUACCUAUAAGACUGGGAUAACUUCGGGAAACCGGAGCUAAUACCGGAUAAUAUUUUGAACCGCAUGGUUCAAAAGUGAAAGACGGUCUUGCUGUCACUUAUAGAUGGAUCCGCGCUGCAUUAGCUAGUUGGUAGGGUAACGGCUUACCAAGGCAACGAUGCAUAGCCGACCUGAGAGGGUGAUCGGCCACACUGGAACUGAGACACGGUCCAGACUCCUACGGGAGGCAGCAGUAGGGAAUCUUCCGCAAUGGGCGAAAGCCUGACGGAGCAACGCCGCGUGAGUGAUGAAGGUCUUCGGAUCGUAAAACUCUGUUAUUAGGGAAGAACAUAUGUGUAAGUAACUGUGCACAUCUUGACGGUACCUAAUCAGAAAGCCACGGCUAACUACGUGCCAACAGCCGCGGCAAUACCUACGUGGCAAGCUUUAUCCAGAAUUAUUGGGGGUAAAGGCCGCGUAGCGGUUUUUUAGUCUGAUGUGAAAGCCCACGGCUCAACCGUGGAGGGUCAUUGGAAACUGGAAAACUUGAGUGCAGAAGAGGAAAGUGGAAUUCCAUGUGUAGCGGUGAAAUGCGCAGAGAUAUGGAGGAACACCAGUGGCGAAGGCGACUUUCUGGUCUGUAACUGACGCUGAUGUGCGAAAGCGUGGGGAUCAAACAGGAUUAGAUACCCUGGUAGUCCACGCCGUAAACGAUGAGUGCUAAGUGUUAGGGGGUUUCCGCCCCUUAGUGCUGCAGCUAACGCAUUAAGCACUCCGCCUGGGGAGUACGACCGCAAGGUUGAAACUCAAAGGAAUUGACGGGGACCCGCACAAGCGGUGGAGCAUGUGGUUUAAUUCGAAGCAACGCGAAGAACCUUACCAAAUCUUGACAUCCUUUGACAACUCUAGAGAUAGAGCCUUCCCCUUCGGGGGACAAAGUGACAGGUGGUGCAUGGUUGUCGUCAGCUCGUGUCGUGAGAUGUUGGGUUAAGUCCCGCAACGAGCGCAACCCUUAAGCUUAGUUGCCAUCAUUAAGUUGGGCACUCUAAGUUGACUGCCGGUGACAAACCGGAGGAAGGUGGGGAUGACGUCAAAUCAUCAUGCCCCUUAUGAUUUGGGCUACACACGUGCUACAAUGGACAAUACAAAGGGCAGCGAAACCGCGAGGUCAAGCAAAUCCCAUAAAGUUGUUCUCAGUUCGGAUUGUAGUCUGCAACUCGACUACAUGAAGCUGGAAUCGCUAGUAAUCGUAGAUCAGCAUGCUACGGUGAGUACGUUCCCGGGUCU